GGUUAAAGAAAGCUGUGAGGAGGUUCUUUACGCGGCCUUUGAGAGAUCCAAAAGCACAGGCAGAAGCGGGAAGGAGACAGUUCAGUCUGAGCCACACAACCCAGCCUCCUCUAGAAAGCCAAGGUGGCUGGCCCACUCGAGCCUGGUUCCGUUUCUACUUGAACAGUUUACUUUUACCCAGGAGGAACCAGGGAGGCUCGUGAGAAGCCUUGCCAUUCUCAGAAAUCAGGGAACACGUUAAGACGUUUGCUAGGUGAGAAGCCAGGGAUACGGCACCGUGAGAUCAGGACGGCUGAGGAUCUGGAGUUUGAUAGCAGCCCGAGCUACAGAGUGAGAUCCUGUCAUAAACAAACGGACAACUGAAUGACUCCACUGGCUUUUAGCCUUCCCAGUAUUAGGUGAAUGUUGUGAUUGCUCAGAGUCCUCAUGGCAGCAGCAACGGUGUCUCUGUCAAGUCCUGUGGUGGUGCGCAUACAGAGUUGCUCAUCUGCCCCCAACCGGCCCUCGGCCCGCGCCUGGGCACGGAUGCCCUCAAAGAAGCAGCACCAUCUCAGGGUGCCCGCACUUACAGAGCUCAGGUUUACUCUCCACGGUUCUCCCAGAACAAAGCAGCCCUCAGUGCUGCAGGGCUGCCAUGCCCUUGUUAACCAGAACAUGAGGGCCGACCUCCCCUUCUUCGGACAAGCUGGACCACGUUGAAGCUGUAAACAGGCCCAUAAAUCAGCUGCCCUACAAUGGCAGAGUUCUUGCGAGCCCUCAAGCCCCAUAUGCAUUCCUCCUGGUUAAUGAAUACCGAGGUAGAGCCGCUGUUCUACUCAGUGGAAGCCGAGUUAGAACCAGAAGAUGGAUAUGUGAAAAUCAGCUGCCCAGGAAAACCAAAGCCACCGAAGGAAACUGACUUCAAAGGCCUCCAGUCUCCUCUACGCAAUGCUUUGCCAGCUGAGUAAUUUGUAUGACAAAGCAGAUGCGCAUGAACCCAGCCCUGUGAGUGCAUUUUGCUCCCGUCCCAGGUCGAAUAUCUGAAAAAUAUAUUCACCCGCAUAUUUCAAAAGAAAAGGAAUGCAGUGAACAUGCCCAGGUUGAUGGGAAGCUCAGGUCUGCACACGUGCUUCUGACAAGAUCAUCUGACAUGAGCCGGCCGAGAGUGCUCUCCUCAGCUCCAUGCUGCAAGCUAUCAGCCAGCAUAGGAAAUCUGAAGUGGCAAUCCCUUCCACAUCCAGGAAUGAAUUCCUGCUGUCUGCACCAUCCAUGGCUGCUCCUGACUUUGGGAGUUCUCAUGGACUUCCACAGCUAUUCCUUUUCCAGAAACAGGCCAGCGGAAGGCAAGACCAAAGCCCACCCUCUCUACCCAGAUUGCUACCUUUAAUGGAGAAAGAAACAUGCAUGCACACAGGCAAAAGCCUGCUCUCUCUCUCUCUCUCUCUCUCUCUCUCUCUCUCUCUCUCUCUC
Molecule: small RNA, 1449 nt
Filed under: Rattus norvegicus (Norway rat)
Lineage: Eukaryota; Metazoa; Chordata; Mammalia; Rodentia; Muridae
Description: uncharacterized LOC100911081
Source: RNAcentral